Molecule: ribosomal RNA, 251 nt
Filed under: uncultured bacterium
Lineage: Bacteria
Description: partial 16S ribosomal RNA
Rfam family: Bacterial small subunit ribosomal RNA
Source: RNAcentral
CCUGGCUUGCCAGGUGUCCUUAGUGGCGCACGGGUGAGUAACGCGUGGGAAUCUGCCCAAGAGUGGGGAAUAACUAUUGGAAACGAUAGCUAAUACCGCAUACGCCCUCCGGGGGAAAGGCUUCGGCCGCUCAUGGAUGAUCCCGCGUCUGAUUAGCUUGUUGGUGGGGUAACGGCCUACCAAGGCGACGAUCAGUAGCUGGUCUGAGAGGAUGAUCAGCCACACUGGGACUGAGACACGGCCCAGACUCC